GUGCUCGCUUCAGCAGCACAUAAACUAAAAUUGAAACGAUACAGAGAAUAUUCACAGGAAUCGUGUGCAAGGAUGACACACAGAUUCACGGAGCGUUUCGUUUUU
Molecule: small nuclear RNA, 105 nt
Filed under: Catagonus wagneri (Chacoan peccary)
Lineage: Eukaryota; Metazoa; Chordata; Mammalia; Artiodactyla; Tayassuidae
Source: RNAcentral